GAGGCCCUGGGCGGGAACUAGUAAGCCACAAUCUGGAAGAGUCUUUUACCACCAUGUGGAGGAGAACUAGAGCACUCAUGUUGAACUAUUACCGAGAAAAGUAAUCAACUUCUUUUGUGUUAAGUCACUGAAAGAGCGCUGCCCUCAGCUGAAAUGAGAGCCAUCUCAACAGAAAGCUUAAAUUCCCCCCAUCCUUAGCCCAUGGUCCGUGACACACUGUUGUGGUGUUAUAAAUGAGCAGCUCCCUUUGCCUCAAGAUGGAAUUAACUCUGCGUUGCAAUUCAUGCUCCGGUGCCCUCUGUGGAAUUAGGCUGAAGCUGGACUUCAGCCAAGACUGCAUCCUUGCUUAGUUCAUUUUCUUGCCUUAUUCUACUUUCCUGGAUUGCCUUCUCCUGAGAGCACCUACUCCGCCAGUAAAUCACAAGUACCUCCGUCUCUCCUUACAAGCAAUUGGAGCUAAGAUGGAUUGAACUGGAAAGGCUAGAUGCUCCCAAGAAUACAAAGAUAAAGAAGAUUGCCUGCAGUUGCCCAGAUGCCUGGAAAGUCUUUAAGGCAAAGAACUGGGUAAGAAGAGUUUAUUAUACAUUCCUGAGCAGCAUUGUCAGCGAGUCAAGAUACCUCUCUGCAUUCCAGAGAACUUGUCCUGAUCCUCGCAAUCAGAGCUGUCUUGGAACAGAUGUCACCUCCUCUGGUCUUUCCUGACCCACCGGCUCAUUCAUAUCUCCUACUCAGCCAAGAAAAUAGGUGUCUAGCUAUAGAAAAUAGUCUGAUUUCCUGCCCAGAAACUGUUUCGGGUGAAAAAAAGCAAAUGAAAAGGAAGUAAAAGGAGAGAGUUAGAGUAUAUUACAUUUCUUGAAUACCUGCAACCUACUUUUCCAAUCACUUUUAAACCAGAGUUCUUUUUACAGCUUUCAGAGCUGAGCCCGUUAGUUGAAGCUCCGCCGAGAGAAGCCAGCAGAGGGCAGCAAAGGGCAGUUGGGCCUGCCGCACCGCUGAUUCCCAGGUCUAGGGGCCAUGUUACUUAGCAGGGAAGCUUCCCUCUACACCAGUAGUUCUCAUUUUGCUGCAUGUCAGAACCUCCAGAAGAGCUUUAAAAAUCUCCUGAUGUCCAUGUUUCAGUCCAAAGCAAUUAAAUCAGAAUAGAAGGAGGUAGAGGUUAUAUGGAGGGGCUAUUGGGGCAUGUCUCAGUCCAUUAGAAGCCCAAAGAAACUUGGGAUUUGGGGAAGGACUUGGAUGAAGAUAAAUAAAGGGCAGCCAGGCUCUUUAUUCAGAUUAUAUCCACCAUCCUAGAGAAGAGGGCCUGACAUUUUUAAAUCGUGACCGAACUGGAAGAGAUUUGUAGUACUUUGAAGGUUGCCCUUCAAACGCAUUGGAAUCGUUGGCAUUGCUAAGUGAGGUGAUAUUCAACAGGGCUAUUUGAUGAGAUAUGACAGAUGCAAAACGAAAGUAGAUUAAUUUAGUAAGAGUAUAAAAGAAAACGAAUGUCACCCAUCAAACAGGCAAAGGCAGGAGGUGAAAAGGAGCAGGAGAAAGACCUACCCAGGAGCCCUAUGCGAGAGGCCACGCCCAUCCUGCCCACUGAUUGGGCCGAGGCACACCUUUGGUGUAUAGCUGGCUCUCAGGCAGGAGGAAGGUUAUCUGAAGAAGGUUCAAAGAAGUGUUUAUGUGGCUGGAAGUCUAAAAAGAAAUGAAGUGAUAGAGGUUUACAAAGAUGUUUGUGGAAGGAGAAUUUACAGAUUGUAGAUGAUGGAGAAAGAAGAAAUUCUGACUCCACUCGCUACACCUUCAGCUCUUGAGAAAACUGAGUAUGGACUGGGUGAGUUGAACAUAUAGUAUAUGAAGAAAGAUAAUUUUGACAAUUGAAUCUGUUUGUUUGAAGUGUGACUGUUAAACCUGAGCGAGUGGUUUGAGAUGGAGGUGUUAAGACUCUGCUUGUCAACUCUAUGAAGAAAAUUAAAUGUUGUACUGUGACCCAAAUUAUAUUGGACAUUU
Homo sapiens (human) is the source of this 1992-nucleotide long non-coding RNA. Ensembl annotates it as THRB antisense RNA 1. Its record names the gene THRB-AS1. NCBI's taxonomy places the organism in Eukaryota, Metazoa, Chordata, Mammalia, Primates, Hominidae. The record is from Ensembl.